UGGGGAAUUUUGCGCAAUGGACGAAAGUCUGAUGCAGCAACGCCGCGUGAUCGAUGACGCUUCUAGGAGUGUAAAGAUCUGUCGUGAGGGAAGAGAAGCUCGGAUGUAAAUAAUGUUCAGGUGUGACGGUACCUUACAAGAAAGCACCGGCUAACUUCGUGCCAGCAGCCGCGGUAAUACGAGGGGUGCUAGCGUUGUCCGGAAUAACUGGGCGUAAAGGGUCCGUAGGCGUUUUGCCAAGUUGAUCGUUAAAUCCACCGGCUCAACCGGUGAUCUGCGAUCAAAACUGGUAGAAUAGAAUAUGUGAGGGGAAUGUGGAAUUCCUGGUGUAGCGGUGACAUGCGUAGAUAUCAGGAGGAACACCAAUGGCGAAGGCAGCAUUCUGGCACAAUAUUGACGCUGAGGGACGAAAGCGUGGGGAGCGAACAGGAUUAGAUACCCUGGUAGUCCACGCCGUAAACGAUGAGUACUUGAUGGUGGGGGAUUCGACCCCUUCACUAUCGGAGCUAAC
RNAcentral lists this ribosomal RNA (511 nucleotides) under uncultured marine bacterium. Its description in RNAcentral is "bacterial SSU rRNA". It matches the Rfam family "Bacterial small subunit ribosomal RNA", at positions 355 to 856 of the family's 1533-position model. The record is from RNAcentral.